Molecule: ribosomal RNA, 465 nt
Filed under: uncultured bacterium
Lineage: Bacteria
Description: partial 16S ribosomal RNA
Rfam family: Bacterial small subunit ribosomal RNA
Source: RNAcentral
CCUACGGGAGGCAGCAGUAGGGAAUCUUCGACAAUGGGCGAAAGCCUGAUCCAGCAACGCCGCGUGUGUGAAGAAGGUCUUCGGAUUGUAAAACACUUUUGUUAGAGAAGAAAGUGCGUUUGAGUAUCUCGUCACGUUUCGACGGUAUCUAACCAGUAAGCCCCGGCUAACUACGUGCCAGCAGCCGCGGUAAUACGUAGGGUGCAAGCGUUAUCCGGAUUUAUUGGGCGUAAAGGGAGCGCAGGCGGUCUUUUAAGUUUGAUGUGAAAGCCCCGGGCUUAACCUGGGUAGGUCAUACGUGACUGGGAGACUAGAGUGCGUAAGAGGAGGGUGGAACUCCAGGUGUAGCGGUGAAAUGCGUAGAUAUAUGGAAGAACACCGAUGGCGAAGGCAGCUCUCUGGUCCGUAACUGACGCUGAGGUUCGAAAGCGUGGGGAGCAAACAGGAUUAGAUACCCUUGUAGUC